RNAcentral lists this long non-coding RNA (199 nucleotides) under Daucus carota (carrot). RNAcentral describes it as "long non-coding RNA (DCAR_LNC007277)". Lineage: Eukaryota; Viridiplantae; Streptophyta; Magnoliopsida; Apiales; Apiaceae. The record is from RNAcentral.
GAAACCAGAGGAAAAGAGAUGCCGAGUCUGGUGGUGGCUGAACAUGGUGAAGGGAGGCGCCGGACGGUGGCGGUGCGGAGAGAGGAGCGGCGCGGCGCUUACAAGGGAGGAGGGCAGGAGAGGGAAGGGAGAGGCGAGUGAGGCUGAGAGAGAGAUUGUGUGAGAAGAGAGAGAGAAACUGAGAGAGAAAAGAGAGACG